UACGGGGGCAGCAAGCGUUGUUCGGAUUUACUGGGCGUAAAGGGCGCGUAGGCGGCCAGCACAAGUCAGUUGUGAAAUCUCCGAGCUUAACUCGGAAAGGUCAACUGAUACUGUGCGGCUAGAGUGCGGAAGGGGCAACUGGAAUUCUUGGUGUAGCGGUGAAAUGCGUAGAUAUCAAGAGGAACACCUGCGGCGAAGGCGGGUUGCUGGGCCGACACUGACGCUGAUGCGCGAAAGCCAGGGGAGCGAACGGG
Molecule: ribosomal RNA, 254 nt
Filed under: uncultured bacterium
Lineage: Bacteria
Description: partial 16S ribosomal RNA
Rfam family: Bacterial small subunit ribosomal RNA
Source: RNAcentral